GCCUCCGUAGCUCAGGGGAUAGAGCACCGCUCUCCUAAAGCGGGUGUCGCAGGUUCGAUUCCUGCCGGGGGCA
RNAcentral lists this transfer RNA (73 nucleotides) under Streptomyces oceani. Its description in RNAcentral is "Streptomyces sp. SCSIO 02100 tRNA". It matches the Rfam family "tRNA". From Rfam's summary of the family: Transfer RNA (tRNA) molecules are approximately 80 nucleotides in length. Their secondary structure includes four short double-helical elements and three loops (D, anti-codon, and T loops). Further hydrogen bonds mediate the characteristic L-shaped molecular structure. tRNAs have two regions of fundamental functional importance: the anti-codon, which is responsible for specific mRNA codon recognition, and the 3' end, to which the tRNAs corresponding amino acid is attached (by aminoacyl-tRNA synthetases). tRNAs cope with the degeneracy of the genetic code in two manners: having more than one tRNA (with a specific anti-codon) for a particular amino acid; and 'wobble' base-pairing, i.e. permitting non-standard base-pairing at the 3rd anti-codon position. Lineage: Bacteria; Bacillati; Actinomycetota; Actinomycetes; Kitasatosporales; Streptomycetaceae. The record is from Rfam by way of RNAcentral.